This 770-nucleotide ribosomal RNA is filed under the name uncultured bacterium. RNAcentral's name for it is "bacterial SSU rRNA". It matches the Rfam family "Bacterial small subunit ribosomal RNA", at positions 28 to 793 of the family's 1533-position model. The record is from RNAcentral.
AUUGAACGCUGGCGGCAUGCUUUACACAUGCAAGUCGAACGGUAACAGGCCGCAAGGUGCUGACGAGUGGCGAACGGGUGAGUAAUGCAUCGGAACGUGCCCAGUCGUGGGGGAUAACGCAGCGAAAGCUGCGCUAAUACCGCAUACGAUCUGUGGAUGAAAGCGGGGGACCUUCGGGCCUCGCGCGAUUGGAGCGGCCGAUGUCAGAUUAGGUAGUUGGUGGGGUAAAGGCUCACCAAGCCGACGAUCUGUAGCUGGUCUGAGAGGACGACCAGCCACACUGGGACUGAGACACGGCCCAGACUCCUACGGGAGGCAGCAGUGGGGAAUUUUGGACAAUGGGGGCAACCCUGAUCCAGCAAUGCCGCGUGCAGGAAGAAGGCCUUCGGGUUGUAAACUGCUUUUUGUACGGAACGAAAAGGCUCUGGUUAAUACCUGGGGCUCAUGACGGUACCGUAAGAAUAAGCACCGGCUAACUACGUGCCAGCAGCCGCGGUAAUACGUAGGGUGCGAGCGUUAAUCGGAAUUACUGGGCGUAAAGCGUGCGCAGGCGGUGCUGUAAGACAGGCGUGAAAUCCCCGGGCUUAACCUGGGAAUGGCGCUUGUGACUGCAGUGCUGGAGUGUGGCAGAGGGGAUGGAAUUCCGCGUGUAGCAGUGAAAUGCGUAGAUAUGCGGAGGAACACCGAUGGCGAAGGCAAUCCCCUGGGCCUGCACUGACGCUCAUGCACGAAAAGCGUGGGGGAGCAAACAGGAUUAGAUACCCUGGUAG